This 438-nucleotide ribosomal RNA is filed under the name uncultured bacterium. RNAcentral describes it as "bacterial SSU rRNA". It matches the Rfam family "Bacterial small subunit ribosomal RNA", at positions 340 to 773 of the family's 1533-position model. The record is from RNAcentral.
UACGGAAGGCAGCAGUGGGGAAUAUUGCACAAUGGGCGCAAGCCUGAUGCAGCCAUGCCGCGUGUAUGAAGAAGGCCUUCGGGUUGUAAAGUACUUUCAGUCGUGAGGAAGGUGUUAAGGUUAAUAACCUUAGCAAUUGACGUUAGCGACAGAAGAAGCGCCGGCUAACUCCGUGCCAGCAGCCGCGGUAAUACGGAGGGUGCGAGCGUUAAUCGGAAUUACUGGGCGUAAAGGGCACGCAGGCGGUUAAUUAAGUUGGAUGUGAAAUCCCCGGGCUUAACCUGGGAAUGGCAUUCAAGACUGGUUAGCUAGAGUCUUGUAGAGGGGGUAGAAUUCCAUGUGUAGCGGUGAAAUGCGUAGAGAUGUGGAGGAAUACCGGUGGCGAAGGCGGCCCCUGGACAAGACUGACGCUCAUGUGCGAAAGCGUGGGGAGCAAAC